UACGAAGGGGGCUAGCGUUGUUCGGAAUCACUGGGCGUAAAGGGCGCGUAGGCGGCCAUAUAAGUCGGGGGUGAAAGCCUGUGGCUCAACCACAGAAUUGCCUUCGAUACUGUAUGGCUCGAGACCAGAAAAGGUAAGUGGAACUGCGAGUGUAGAGGAGAAAUUCGUAGAUAUUCGCAAGAACACCAGUGGCGAAGGCGGCUUACUGGUCCGGUUCUGACGCUGAGGCGCGAAAGCGUGGGGAGCAAACAGG
RNAcentral lists this ribosomal RNA (253 nucleotides) under uncultured bacterium. Its description in RNAcentral is "partial 16S ribosomal RNA". It matches the Rfam family "Bacterial small subunit ribosomal RNA", at positions 524 to 776 of the family's 1533-position model. The record is from RNAcentral.